CUACGGGUUGCUCCAGUGGGGAAUAUUGCACAAUGGGCGCAAGCCUGAUGCAGCAACGCCGCGUGAGGGACGACGGCCUUCGGGUUGUAAACCUCUUUUAGCAGGGAAGAAGCGAAAGUGACGGUACCUGCAGAAAAAGCACCGGCUAACUACGUGCCAGCAGUCGGGGUAAUACGUAGGGUGCAAGCGUUGUCCGGAAUUAUUGGGCGUAAAGAGCUCGUAGGCGGUUUGUCGCGUCUGCUGUGAAAAUCCGAGGCUCAACCUCGGACCUGCAGUGGGUACGGGCAAACUAGAGUGCGGUAGGGGAGAUUGGAAUUCCUGGUGUAGCGGUGGAAUGCGCAGAUAUCAGGAGGAACACCAAUGGCGAAGGCAGAUCUCUGGGCCGUAACUGACGCUGAGGAGCGAAAGCGUGGGGAGCGAACAGGAUUAGAUACCCGGGUAGUC
RNAcentral lists this ribosomal RNA (444 nucleotides) under uncultured bacterium. RNAcentral's name for it is "partial 16S ribosomal RNA". It matches the Rfam family "Bacterial small subunit ribosomal RNA", at positions 339 to 795 of the family's 1533-position model. The record is from RNAcentral.